This is a long non-coding RNA of Canis lupus familiaris (dog), 1050 nucleotides long. RefSeq lists it as uncharacterized. The transcript is spliced from 3 exons. The record is from RefSeq and is a predicted model, not a curated record. NCBI's taxonomy places the organism in Eukaryota, Metazoa, Chordata, Mammalia, Carnivora, Canidae.
GGGAGGAAACACUCUGACCCCACAUAUGUCUCUCUCUAUUGGCCCAUCUAACCAGAAGCCAGAGGAUUUGUGCACCAUUGAUGCAACCCAUACAGGACAUCCUGCAAAGCAGAAGGCAGAACAGCACACAGUGAAAAGACAAGAAGGCACAAUUCCAUUGGGGGAGAAGACCGUGUCAAAAGGCAUUCACCAAGUAGACCCAUUCAGUGGUUGAGUAACAUGGCUGAGUAAAUGUAAAAAAUGAACACACGCAAAGCACAGUUACACCUCCAACUAUCCAGCAUGCAGAAAAGUUUUGCUCACUGUAAAAGAAGAGUUAAUGUAGCAAGAGGACCGAUGAAAAAACUCAUGGCUCUGAACUUGCCCCUUUCUCGCACCUUCCAGGAAAAAACGGGCACUCUUUAGCAACCAACAUGUUACAGAGAUACUGCUAUCCUCCUACCUUCAGUCAAUAGGAUGCCAGCUAUAGACCUACAAGCCCCAAAAAAGCAGACAGACCCCUCAGUCCCAUUAAGCCAUCAUUGCCAAAGCCCUGCCACUUGGUGCCACCUAUGUGGUGUUGUUUGAAGGACAAAGGGUCUUCUCUAUGCUAAUCCACCAUUUCAGAUGCUCUCAUAGGGUAAGCAUUUUCUCCUCUAGGCUCUUUCAUUAAAGAGAAAUUCCCUGGAAAGGGAGCAGGCAUUCACAAUGUGAAGGAACCACCAGCAGCAAUAUUGUUAUUUUGCCCUAACAUUUGCAUAGUGAAUGUGUUCCUGUGAGUUUGUCCCCAGACUGAAGGAGUAAUUGUGCACAAAUGUGGCAGGGAUUAGUGAAUGAGGACAUCCACAGGGAAGAAAAAAAUCAAAAGAAGGGAAAUAUAGGAGCUCUGAAAUCAAGCUUCUCACAUUUCAUAAUCUCACCAAAAUUAGUUGAUGCUGCUAGGGUUUCUCUCUACCUAAUGGGAACUGAUUAAAUCUGGUUUGUCAUCUAUUUUUUAUGUUUUUGAUAAUAAGUGAAAUUGGGAUUACCUGGGACUAGUGUCACAACCCUUGUUUACUGGGUUUCAGAAGA